UUAGAUUUAAUAUCAAAGAAAAAAGUGACAUUGCAAAUGUUACAUAAAUUUCUU
Molecule: transfer RNA, 54 nt
Filed under: Epitrimerus sabinae
Lineage: Eukaryota; Metazoa; Arthropoda; Arachnida; Trombidiformes; Eriophyidae
Description: tRNA-Cys
Source: RNAcentral